Molecule: ribosomal RNA, 468 nt
Filed under: uncultured bacterium
Lineage: Bacteria
Description: partial 16S ribosomal RNA
Rfam family: Bacterial small subunit ribosomal RNA
Source: RNAcentral
GACGAACGCUGGCGGCGUGCUUAACACAUGCAAGUCGAACGGAAAGGCCCUGCUUUUGUGGGGUGCUCGAGUGGCGAAGGGGUGAGUAACACGUGAGUAACCUGCUCUUCUCUUUGGGAUGACUUCAGGAAAGUGGGGCUAAUAGCGGAUAGGAGCUCCCGCUGCAUGGUGGGGGGUGGAUAGUUUCGGCGGUUGGGGAUGGACUCGCGGCUUAUCAGCUUGUUGGUGGGGUAGUGGCUUACCAAGGCUUGGACGGGUGGCCGGCCUGAGAGGGGGACCGGCUCCACGGGGCCGGAGAUACGGCGCAGCCUCGAAUGGGAGGCAGCGGUGGGGAGUAUUAUACAAUGGGCGGAAGCCGGAGGUGACAACGCCGCGUGCGGGAAGCCGUCCUGCGGGUUGUGAACCGCUGCCGCCUGAGACGAAGCGUUAGUGACGGUACUGGGUGAAGAAGCACCGGCUAACUACGUG